RNAcentral lists this non-coding RNA (1322 nucleotides) under Gregarina niphandrodes. RNAcentral's name for it is "Eukaryotic large subunit ribosomal RNA". It matches the Rfam family "Eukaryotic large subunit ribosomal RNA", at positions 1642 to 3094 of the family's 3401-position model. The record is from Rfam by way of RNAcentral. Lineage: Eukaryota; Apicomplexa; Conoidasida; Eugregarinorida; Gregarinidae.
UGGUGACAAAAAGUGAUUGAUUCUUCAGAUAGUUUGGCAGCAGGCGCUUGCGACGCUUGACAAUGACUUGAAUCUUUUGAAUUGAUUUAGUUAGCGAAAAAGAUAAAAAGUCGGACAUGUUCCAUUCUCAAUGGGAUCUUUCGCCAACCUAUUUGAACCUUGAAAUUUCGAUUACUAUUUGCUAUUGUUGAUAACCGUACCCUAAACCGCAUCAGGUCUCCAAGGUUAACAGCCUAUGGUUAAGUGGAAUAAAGUAGAUGAGGGAAGUCGGCAAAUUCGAUCUGUAACUUUGGAAAAAGGAUUGGCUCUGGACGUCAGUGAUUUAACUUGUUAAGUCACAAUUAUGACAUAUCCAGAACUGGUGUUGACUAGAGGAAUCUGACUGUUUAAUUAAAACAAAGCAUUGUGUAAAGUUGAAAAACUAUACACGCAAUGUGAUUUCUGCCCAGUGCUCUGAAUGUUAUUGUGAUGAGAUUCGCAUAAGCGCGGGUAAACGGCGGGAGUAACUAUGACUCUCUUAAGGUAGCCAAAUGCCUCGUCGUCUAAUUAAUGACGUGCAUGAAUGGAUCAAUGAGAUUCCUACUGUCCCCAACUACUAUCCAGUGAAACCACAGCCAAGGGAACGGGCUUGGCAAUAUAAGCGGGGAAAGAAGACCCUGUUGAGCUUGACUCUAGUUUGAUAUUGUAAAACUACUUGGAAGAUGUAGCAUACGUGGGAGCAUCUAAUGCGACAGUGAAAUACCACGGCUUCUAAUGUGGCUUUGCUCACUCGGAAUUAGUGGAUCUGCUCUGCAGAAACGCGAAACUAAAGUGUAAACGACAUUCACUGAGGACAUUAUCAAAUGGGGAGUUUGGCUGGGGCGGCACAUCUGCUAAACAUCAACGCAGAUGCCCUAAGGUUAACUCAAAGAGAACAGAAAUCUCUUGUAGACCGAAAGGAGAAAAGUUAGCAUUAUUCGGAUUUGUAUCAUCAAUAAGAAUUGCGAAAGCAUGGCCUAUCGAUCCUUUAAGCCCAGAAAGAUUCUGGCUAGAGGUGACGGAAAAGUUACCACAGGGAUAACUGGCUUGUGGCAGCCAAGCGUUCAUAGCGACGUUGCUUUUUGAUCCUUCGAUGUCGGCUCUUCCUAUCAUUGAGUUGCAGAAGUCUCAAAGUGUCGGAUUGUUCACCCGUUAAUAGGGAACGUGAGCUGGGUUUAGACCGUCGUGAGACAGGUUAGUUUUAUCCUACUUAUACACGCAUCAAAAGAGUUAAUCAACUUAGUACGAGAGGAACCGUUGAUUCAAACCGCUGGUUAAGCGUUUGACUGUAAAGUCAAAGACGC